AAAAAAUCAUACACCAAAUCAACGUUGGUGGGUUGAGUGGCCUUGGCGAUGUGACGGGGUCUCCAAGGGCAAACCAGGACGUGCAGGGCUCAUGGAAUCGUUCGAGAUGAGCAAAGGCACUGGGUGUCGGGUUUUGCAUAGGGUGGUCUACGGCCAAUUUUUGCGGAAUUGUGGGGCAUAUUUAUGGGGCUGCAGCAUGUCUAGUCGCUUGGUCAUUGCAGAGUAAUCCUCGAGUUUGAUUCCUCCCUCGCUCAGAGUGCUGUCAUAGGAUCUUCUCCCGGUUCUCUUCAGAUGGCUUUGUUAGUCAGAGCCAUCAAGGAACUCCUCUUAAGAGAUUGAGCGGUUCGCGCCUAACACACAUAUCGUGAAGACAACUCUUAUGAGGAUUGAUUAGCCAAUUGAUCUCUCAUUCUACCUCUUGGCUGCCACUUCCUUAGCUCCCUGCCGAUCUGCAAUGGCACGACUCUUCUUGGUUAUGUAGUUGAGACUUCCAUAUCCCGUCUUUAUCCCACUUAGUUUUUCCUUGUUGUAUCCAGUAGCAGAGUCACGCGGACUCCAAGGGGCAAUUGCCCAACUGAAGUUUCAGUUUUUUUUUUACCCUAAAAUUAUAUUUAUAUAAGAUUUUUUUUAUGUAAAA
Non-coding RNA from Punica granatum (pomegranate), 637 nucleotides. The record is from RefSeq and is a predicted model, not a curated record. NCBI's taxonomy places the organism in Eukaryota, Viridiplantae, Streptophyta, Magnoliopsida, Myrtales, Lythraceae.